RNAcentral lists this transfer RNA (76 nucleotides) under Thermomicrobiales bacterium. RNAcentral's name for it is "tRNA-Thr". It matches the Rfam family "tRNA". From Rfam's summary of the family: Transfer RNA (tRNA) molecules are approximately 80 nucleotides in length. The record is from RNAcentral. RNAcentral also lists the same sequence under 1 other name. Lineage: Bacteria; Pseudomonadati; Thermomicrobiota; Thermomicrobia; Thermomicrobiales.
GCCGACUUAGCUCAGCCGGUAGAGCAGCUGUUUCGUAAACAGCAGGUCUGGGGUUCGAGUCCCCAAGUCGGCUCCA